Molecule: non-coding RNA, 72 nt
Organism: Aedes aegypti (yellow fever mosquito)
Lineage: Eukaryota; Metazoa; Arthropoda; Insecta; Diptera; Culicidae
Source: Rfam
GGCUCGGUAGCUUAGUUGGUAAAGCGCUCGUCUAGCAUACAAGAGUCCUGGGUUCAAAUCCCACCCGAGCAC